CCCCUGCAACUGUUUAUUAAAAACAUAGCACUCUGCAAACACGAAAGUGGACGUAUAGGGUGUGAUGCCUGCCCGGUGCUGGAAGGUUAAUUGAUGGGGUUAGCGUAAGCGAAGCUCUURAUCGAAGCCCCRGUAAACGGCGGCCGUAACUAUAACGGUCCUAAGGUAGCGAAAUUCCUUGUCGRGUAAGUUCCGACCUGCACGAAUGGCRUAAYGAUGGCCACGCUGUCUCCACCCCACUCUCAGYGAAAUYGAAWUCGCYGUGAAGAUGCRGAGUACCCGCGGCUAGACGGAAAGACCCCGUGAACCUUUACUACAGCUUGGCACUGAACAUUGARCCUACAUGUGUAGGAUAGGUGGGAGGCUUYGAAGKMRUSACGCCAGUKGYKMUGGAGCCGWCCUUGAAAUACCACCCUUGUAUGUUUGAUGUUCUAACUUGGUCCCCUUAUCGGGGAUGAGGACAGUGCCUGGUGGGUAGUUUGACUGGGGCGGUCUCCUCCCAAAGAGUAACGGAGGAGCACGAAGGUGGGCUA
RNAcentral lists this ribosomal RNA (533 nucleotides) under Ancylomarina longa. RNAcentral's name for it is "Bacterial large subunit ribosomal RNA". It matches the Rfam family "Bacterial large subunit ribosomal RNA", at positions 1791 to 2323 of the family's 2925-position model. Lineage: Bacteria; Pseudomonadati; Bacteroidota; Bacteroidia; Marinilabiliales; Marinifilaceae. The record is from Rfam by way of RNAcentral.